This 467-nucleotide ribosomal RNA is filed under the name uncultured bacterium. RNAcentral describes it as "partial 16S ribosomal RNA". It matches the Rfam family "Bacterial small subunit ribosomal RNA", at positions 28 to 507 of the family's 1533-position model. The record is from RNAcentral.
GACGAACGCUGGCGGCGUGCUUAACACAUGCAAGUCGAACGGAAAGGCCCUGCUUUUGUGGGGUGCUCGAGUGGCGAACGGGUGAGUAACACGUGAGUAACCUGCCCUUGACUUUGGGAUAACUUCAGGAAACUGGGGCUAAUACCGGAUAGGAGCUCCUGCUGCAUGGUGGGGGUUGGAAGUUUCGGCGGUUGGGGAUGGACUCGCGGCUUAUCAGCUUGUUGGUGGGGUAGUGGCUUACCAAGGCUUUGACGGGUAGCCGGCCUGAGAGGGUGACCGGCCACAUUGGGAAUGAGAUACGGCCCAGACUCCUACGGGAGGCAGCAGUGGGGAAUAUUGCACAAUGGGCGGAAGCCUGAUGCAGCAACGCCGCGUGCGGGAUGACGGCCUUCGGGUUGUAAACCGCUUUCGCCUGUGACGAAGCGUGAGUGACGGUAAUGGGUAAAGAAGCACCGGCUAACUACGUG